GGUUUCAAGAUUUUUCAAAGUUCAAUUGUAAGUGCAUUUAAGCCCCGUUUUUAAUGUUCUUCGUAUUUUUGAGAUCCUAGAAGCUUAACCUUUCUAUUUUUACUAUUUAUUUGCAUGAAAAAUGAAGUUUAAAAAUUGACCCAUGCUAGAUAUUUGUGCAUUUUGAUGUUUAAUGAUAGAAUAAGGGUGCACGAGGUUAGGAGAACGAUUUUUGCUAAGUGAUUUUCGUUGAAAAUGGUUAAAACGGGUUAAUUAGUAAAAGUUGUAAAUGCUCCUAAAAGUUGUAAAUAAUAAGAAUUUGAGGUUUCUUUAGAAGAGAAAAAGGUUUGGAUGACCUUGAAUGUUAUGGAAAUUGAAUAAAAAUCAUAUUACGAGCCUAGGGGAAAAAUUGUAAUUAUGAGAAAGUUUAGGGGCAAAAUUGUAAAUUUUCCGUAGUAUGAUUUUUGUAUUAAAAUGAGUAAUGUGAGUGAUAAUUAAGUGAAAUGUGACAUUUUAGAUCGAAGAAAUCGAGAUUUGGACUAAGUACGAGGAAAUAUAAAUCAAAAUGAUCGAUUCGCGUUGAGGAAAGUUCAUAUGGUUAGUCUAAGUGAUCGAUUAUUAAAUUUGAAUUGAGAUGAUGUUUUAUUUUAUAUAUAUUUGUUAUUUAAUCAUGACUUUAUUUUAGAUUGAAGGAUCAAUCGUGAGAAAUGCAGGGUCAAGUACAUUCGUACUACAACUCAUUAGGAAUUGAUGGAAAAGUCCAUGGUUGGACCAUGGCAGUGAGUGUGCCAGUGUAAGACCAUGUCUGGGACAUGGCAUCGGCACAGACCGAGGAGUGCUAGUGUAAGACCAUGUCUGGGACAUGGCAUCGGCACGGACAUAGGAGAGCCAGUGUAAGACCAUGUCUGGGACAUGGCAUCGGCUCGAGAUGAGGGCCAAAGUAAGACCAUGUCUGGGACAUGACAUCGGCAUCGAUAUGUGAUCCCAUGUAAGACCAUAUAUGGGAUAUGGCAUUGGCGUCCUACUAGGUGUACGAAAUAUCCCGAACAUCCCUAAUAUUACAAGUAGUUCAACGGGAAAUUUAAGGAGUAUGCUCAAGAUAAGUAAGAGUAGGAUAUGUGAGUAUUAUGACUAGGCACAGGUAUGUAUAUGAGACUCAUAAAUAAUGUGCUCAGAUUAUGAUGCAUUAUUAAUAAGGAUGCAAACGAGUAAGUUUGUAUGUGAUUAAUUCCUUAUUUUUACUUACGUUUUAAUUAUGAGAUAUGAUUGAAUAUGGAAUAAUUACUUGAGGUGAAUAAUGAAUUACGGUUGAAUAUGGAAGAGUUGGAAAAAGGUUUAAAAUAUAUAUAUGAGAAUUUGUGGUUGAACCUUCGGAAUGGAUCGGAUAUCGUUGGAAAUAUAGGUGAAUGCUAUUCGCCGAUUCCACCGGAUAUUAAUGAAAAUAAAGGUGAUUGCUAUGUGCUGAUUUCACUGGAUACCAAUGGUUAUAUAAGUGAUUGCUAUGUGUUGAAUUCACCCUGUACCAUUGAGUAUAAAAGUAGUUGCUAUGUGCUGAUUUCACUGAGUACUAUUGAUUAUAAGGGUGGUGUUGUGUGCUGAUCUACCGUGUAACUGAGAUUAUUUCAAAGUGUUCAUUGGGAAACUAAUUAAGUGAAAACAUAUUGUAACACCCCUAACCCGUCUCCGUCGCCGAAUCAGGGUUACGAGGCAUUACGAAACCAAGCUCACAUAAACAUAACUUUAAUAUCUAAUUCCAAAUGCAAGUCCAAUUCAUGAACAUAUAUAAUCAAAUUCAAGCAUGGAAGUUAAACUCUUUUCGCAUUGCUAUUUACACAAUAGGAUUCAAAAUUAUCCAAAACAUUAUCAAGCCUAUACAUGCCAUAAGAUCGAGUUCAAAUAUUUAACAAAAUACCAAAAAAAAGUCGAUAGUGUGAUGGGCGGUGCUGAUGAUCCCCGAGCUCGUAACGCGUCUCCAAAAAAAAAAUCUAUAAAAACGAAUGAACGAAAGCAAACAAAGUAAGCUUUUAUAGCUUAGUAAGUCUACAGCAUAUCUAUAAUACAUAUAAAAGAAUCAUAUAAUUCUUUAAGUAAAUUUAUUGAAAUUACAAUCAUCAAAUAUGAUUACUAAUCAAACACUACUUUAUUGAGUCAUUUUGUUUAAGUCUAAAAGGAUGUAUAUUUAUCUAAUACACAUAAACGGACAAAUGUAUAUACAUUAUAUGCAUAUAAUCAAGUUACUAGCAUAAUCCUUAACAGCAUAUACUGAUUUCUAGAGUACUUAUUGUUCGCACUUCAUCGAAUCCAUUUAAAUACAACUAUUCAACUACAUAUAUCAAAAGCCAAAUUUUUAUGCUUAUCAUCCAUAAAUGCCGAAUGCACAUAUGCACCUAUACCCAUCUAUGCCGAAUGCAUAGAUACAUACACUUAUUUUCACCUAUGCCGAAUGCAUACACAUAAAUAUAUUCACCUAUGCCGAAUGCAACAUAUAUAUAUAUACAUAUCUAUCAAUUGCUUAGACCAAAUAUAUGUAUAUAUAUAUGCUCAUCAAGUUAAUAUGACUAAAAUCAUGUGAUUGAACAUUUAUGUAUACAUCGAUUUCAUAUAAUCAAAAUCAUAGAGGUAUCAAUUGUAUAUUAUCACAUGCUUUAAACGGAUUCACCGGCAUUUAGCCUGCUAGGUUUUAAAACCUGAUUCAAUACACCGGCUCUUAGCCUGCUAGACUUAUAGUCCGAAAUGUGUCACCGGCAUUAAGCCUGCUAGACUUAUAGUCUGAAAUGUGUCACCGGCAUUAAGCCUGCUAGACUUAUAGCCUGAAAUGUGUCACCGGCAUUAAGCCUGCUAGACUUAUAGUCUGAAUAAUUUCACCGGCGUUAAGCCUGCUAGACGUAAAGUCUGAAUUAUGUCACUAACGAUAAACCGAAUGAUACUGAGCUUUAACAAAAGAAUCUCAAUUCAUAGGAGUUGUAUAUCAUAAUGGUAUAUAGAAUUCACAUAAAAAUUCAGCUCAAUAAUUUAUAAACUAUAUCCUUAACCCACAUCGGUAUAAAAAGUUCAAUCAUCAAAUUCAACUCAAUAUCUAAAUUAUACAUCCGAAUAUAUAUAUAUAUAUAUAACUUAACACAUUGAAGCAUACUAUUAAUAUCGUACUUUCGAACACAUUAAGAUAAUCCAAGCUAAUAAUUUCAUCUCUUCAACCCCGUUCAAGAACCUUUACAAGAACAUACAUACCUAAUCGAAUCUCCCUUUUUCAUAUAUAAGUUUCAUACUUAAAUUUAUCACAAGAACAUAUACAUGCAUAGUUGCAUAGUCGAACCCCUUAUAAACUUGUAUAAAUGGCAUACCUAAGUUCAAUACGAGAACAUAUAGAUGUAGAUUUGCAUAAUAUAUAUAUAAUUCACUCAUACUUUUAAUUAUUUCAACUAUCAUAUUUUUAAUUAUAAUUCAUCCAAAAACAGCUCAUAUACUUAUUUAUAUACUGAUUUUAUGACAUUAAAUAGCUAAUAGACUUACCUCGGAUAUCAGCAAACACGAUCGACUAUUCAAUUAUCUUCGACUUCCCCCGAUCCAAAUUCGUUUUCUUCGUUCCUUGAUCUAAACAUAGUCAAAUUUAACCUUUUUAUUCAUCAAAACAUUCAUUUGAGUCCAACAAUACAUAAAUGGGAAAAUUACCAUUUUGCCCCUAACAUUUUGCACUUUUUGCAAUUUAGUCCUUUUUGCACAAAACACAAAAUACACAAAUUUGCCCAUAACACACAAGGGCCGAAUAUUCAUGGUUCUCAUACAAGUCCGCACAUUGCAUUUAUUUCACAUUUUAGUCCCUCAAAAAUUUAUUUUCACAAUUUAGCCCUAAAUACUCAAAUUCAUCAAAAAUACCAAUACAAAACAUGUUAAUCUAAGACAUAUCUUCCAUUAUUCAUCAUCAAACAUCCCAAAACACAAAUAUUCAUCAAUGGCAUAAUUCAAAAUAUUCAUCAAUUCACAAAAUUAAGACAUGGGUUUUGAAGUAUUCAAAGCAACGAUCUCAAAAACGUAAAAAUCAUCAAAAACCGAACAAAAACUAACCUUGAAUUAAGCUUCAAAAGAUGGCCGAACCUAGCUUAGGUUUCUUUCUUUUUCUUUUCUCUAGUUUCGGUCAAAAUAAGAUGAAAAAUGUGGCUUUUAAUUUGUUUGUCUUUUAAUAUAUUAACAUUAUAAUAUAAUAUAUUAUUAUAACCUUUAUACAUAAUAUAAAAACUAUAAUUUAUAAGCAUAAUGCGAUCCACUAUCUUGAAUAAUGGCCUAAUUUCCUAUUAAGGACUUCACAUUAUAAAGACAUUAGCAAGUUAGCACUUUACACAUUAAUUAGUCAAUUUCACAUUUUAUGCGAUUAAGUCCUUUUAUUAAAUUAAGCACACAAACAAUAAAAUUAAUUCACGAGAUUUUCACACAUGUAAAUUAAAAUAUAAUAAACACAUGAAAUAAUAUUAAAAUAUUUUUUUAACUCGGACUUGUGGUCCCGAAACCACUAUGUCCAAUUAGAGUCAAAAUCGGGCUGUUACAACUCUCCCCCCCUUUAGGGAUUUUCGUCCCCGAAAAUCUUACCGGUGAAUAGGUUUGGAUAACGCUCCUUCAUUGUAUCCUCUGACUCCCAAGUUGCUUCUUCAACUCCGUGUUUAUGCCACAAUACUUUAACUAACGGAAUUUUCUUAUUUCGUAAUUCCUUGAUCUCACGAGCCAGAAUGCUAAUCGGUUCUUCUUCAUAUGACAUAUCAGGGUUAAUUUCAAUCUCCGUCGGACAAAUCACAUGUGAAGGAUCAGAUCGGUAUCUACGGAGCAUCGAAACAUGAAAUACAUUGUGAAUCUUUUCUAACUCAGGUGGUAACAUCAAUCUAUAAGCAACCGGUCCGACACGUUCUAUAAUCUCAUACGGUCCAAUGAAUCUUGGACUCAAUUUGCCUUUACGACCGAAUCUGAGUACUUUCUUCCACGGUGAGACUUUCAAAAACACUUUAUCGCCGAUUUGAAAUUCUAUAUCUUUUCUUCUCAAAUCCGCAUAAGAUUUCUGACGAUCUGAUGCUGAUUUCAGGCUGUCCCGAAUCACUUUCACUUUCUGUUCGGUCUCUUUAAUCAAAUCAACCUCGUGUAUCCUAUUUUCACUGAGCUCGGUCCAAUACAGUGGUGUAUGACAUUUACGACCGUACAAAGCCUCAUAAGGUGCCAUUUUAAUACUAGAUUGAAAGCUGUUAUUAUAAGCAAAUUCAAUCAAAGGUAAAUAUCGUUCCCACGUACCUUCAAACUCGAGAAUGCAACAUCUCAACAUGUCCUCAAGUAUCUGUAUAAUUCGCUCCGAUUGACCAUCUGUUUGCGGAUGGAAAGCUGUGCUAAAAUGUAGUUUCGUACCUAAAGCAUCUUGUAAUUUCUUCCAAAACCGCGAUGUAAAUCUCGGGUCUCUGUCUGAAAUAAUAGAAAUAGGCACUCCGUGCAAUUUUACAAUCUGAGAAAUGUACAAUUCAGCAAGUUUAUCAAGCGAAUAAUCAAUACGAACCGGAAUAAAGUGAGCCGAUUUUGUCAAUCUAUCAACAACAACCCAAAUUGCAUCUUUCUUGCUGGGUGUUAACGGUAAACCGGAUACAAAAUCCAUCGUAACUCUGUCCCAUUUCCAUUCAGGUAUCAUGAUCGGCUGCAGCAAUCCAGAAGGUACCUGAUGCUCGGCUUUUACUUGCUGACAUAUUAAACAUUUCGAAACAAAGUCAGAAAUGUCUCGUUUCAUUCCAUGCCACCAAUAGUGUUGUUUCAGAUCAUUAUACAUUUUCGUGCUACCCGAAUGAACAGAAAAUCGACUAUUAUGGGCUUCAUUCAAAAUCAUCUGAAUUAACUCUGGAUUUUUCGGAACACAUAAUCGGUUUCUGAAUCUCAAACAAUCCUCAGUAUCAACUAGAAACUCUGAAUCAACAUUUAAGUCACACUGAGUUCGUUUUGCAAUUAAAUCAUCAUCGGCUUUUUGCGCUUCACAAAUCUGUUGAACAAAUAACGGUUUUGCUUUCAACUCAGCUACUAUCGCACCAUCAUCAGACAUAACCAUAUGUGCAUUCAUUGUACGCAAAGCAAACAGUGAUUUUCGACUUAGGGCAUCAGCAACAACAUUAGCCUUUCCCGGAUGAUAGUCAAUCACGAGCUCGUAAUCUUUCAACAAUUCUAACCAUCGACGAUGUCUCAAAUUCAGAUAUUUCUGAGUCAUCAAAUAUUUCAAGCUUUUAUGAUCGGAAUAAACAUGACAUCUUUCGCCAAACAGAUAGUGACGCCAUAUUUUUAACGCAAAUACAAUAGCGGCCAAUUCCAGAUCAUGCGUCGGAUAGUUCUUUUCAUGCGGCUUUAACUGUCUCGAGGCAUAGGCUACAACUUUGCCUUCCUGCAUCAAUACACAGCCCAAACCAUUUAAAGAUGCAUCACUAUAGAUUACAAACUCUUUACCCGAUUCGGGUUGAACUAGGACUGGAGCUUUGGUUAAAAGAGCUUUCAACUGAUCGAAACUUUUCUGGCACUUUUCUGACCACUCAAACUUAACGUCUUUUUGUAGUAGCCUUGUCAUCGGGGUCGCAAUCAUAGAAAACCCUUUCACAAAACGUCUAUAAUAGCCAGCGAGCCCCAGAAAGCUUCGAACUUCCGAAACAUUCCUCGGAGGUUUCCAAUCAAGUAUAGCUGAAAUUUUACUCGGAUCAACCCAAAUACCCGAUGCUGAUACAACAUGGCCAUGAAAACUGACUUCACGUAACCAGAACUCACAUUUACUAAACUUUGCAUACAACUGCUUAUCUCGCAAAGUUUGUAACACAAGUCUCAGAUGUUCAGCAUGCUCAUUUUCGUCUCGAGAGUAGAUCAAAAUGUCAUCAAUAAAUACUACCACAAACCGAUCCAGAUACUUCCUAAAGAUCUGAUUCAUCAAAUCCAUGAAAAUAGCAGGUGCAUUAGUAAGUCCGAAAGGCAUAACAAGAAACUCAUAAUGUCCGUACCUCGUUCGGAAAGCAGUCUUUGGCACAUCAAAGUCUUUAACUCGCAACUGAUAGUAGCCUGAUCUCAGAUCUAUCUUUGAAAACACAGUAGCCCCUUUCAACUGAUCGAACAAAUCAUCAAUCCGUGGUAACGGAUACUUAUUCUUUAUAGUCACUUUAUUGAGUUGCCGGUAAUCAAUGCACAUUCUCAUCGUUCCGUCUUUUUUUCUCACAAAUAGAACUGGUGCACCCCAAGGAGAGAAACUCGGUCGUGCAAAACCUUUAUCAGUCAGCUCUUGCAACUGUACUUUCAAUUCUUUUAAUUCAGUCGGUGUCAUACGGUACGGAGCUAUCGAUAUGGGAGUCGUCCCUGGUACUAACUCAAUACCAAACUCUACCUCUCGAAUAGGUGGCAAACCCGGUAAUUCUUCGGGAAACACGUCUGAAUACUCACACACUACUGGUACAGAUUCAAUCUUCUUUUCGGUCACUUUACUAUCAAGAACAAAUGCAAGGUAAGCUUCACAACCCCUUCUCACAUACUUCUGAGCCGACAUCGAGGAUAUUAUUGCUGAUAAACCAUUCAGAUCAUUAGAUUCGAUCCGAAUAAUCUCAUCAUUCUGACACCGUAGAUCAAUAGUUUUCCGUUUGCAGUUUACAAUAGCAUCAUGCAGAGUUAACCAAUCCAUACCCAGAAUUAUAUCGAACUCGUCGAAUGGUAACAACAUCAAAUCAGCUGGAAAACAUAAAUCUCGAAUCAUCAACGGACAAUUCUUGCACACUUUGUCAACCAAAACACACCGGCCCAGGGGGUUCGAUACUUUAAUUACAAACUCAGUAGACUCAACAGGCAAAGUCUUACUGAAUACUAAAGUCUCACACACAUAAGAAUGAGUCGAACCAGGAUCAAUCAAUGCAAUAAUAUUAGUAUCAUAAAGAGUGAAAGUACCAGUAAUAACAUCUGGAGAAGAAGCCUCCUCUCGAGCACGGAUGGCAUAAGCUCUGGCAGGUGCACGGGCCUCAGAUCGAAUUGCUGUGUCCCUGGUUCCUCUCUGACUACCACUUACAUUACUCAAUUGUCUCGGCGGUCUACCUCGGACUGGCACAUUACUCGGUCUGGUAUCCUGCACAGUGUUUUGCUCAGCUACCAUCGGACACUCUCGAAUGAAAUGAUCUUUUGAACCACACUUGAAGCAAGACCGAUCAUGGAAUCUGCAAUCCCCAGGAUGCCAUUUCCCACAAUGCUUGCACUCUGAUCUAUUUUGUCGAACACUACCAACGCUAGCAACUGAAGUAGCUCGUGAACUCACAGGGGGUCGAUCUCGAUCAUACUUAGGAAACCCUGCAGUAGCUUUAGAUUGGCUAUGAUCCGCUCUGAAUUUCCUUGAGGUCGACUGAAAUGAUUUACUGAAUGAUCUUUUACGAGAAUCUCGAGCUUCAUAGUCAGCUUUCCUCUUCUCUUUCCCGAGCUCCUCAGCUUUACAAGCUCGUUCAACAAGUACUACGAACUCUUUUAUCUCAAGUAUACCAACUAACAGUUUAAUAUCUUCAUUCAGCCCAUCUUCAAAUCUUCUACACAUGAUAGCUUCAGUUGAAACACACUCUCGAGCAUAUCUACUAAGUCUCACAAAUUUCCGUUCAUAUUCUGUCACUGUCAUACGAUCCUGUUUCAGUUCAAGAAAUUCCUUAGGUUUCUGAUCAAUAAAUCUCUGGCUGAUGUAUUUCUUACGAAACUCAGUCUGAAAGAAUUCCCAGGUCACUCGCUCUUUCGGAACCACCGAUACUAGUGUAUUCCACCAGUGAUAUGCAGUGUCCCGUAGCAAGGAUAUGGCACAUUUCAAGCACUCAUCAGGGGUGCAAGACAACUCAUCAAACACUCGAAUAGUAUUAUCAAGCCAGAAUUCAGCUCGCUCAGCAUCAUCAUCAUCAGUAGCUCUGAACUCUUCGGCCCCGUGUUUUCGAAUUUUGUCAACCGGAGGCUUAAGUAAUCUCAUCGGAUCACUUACUUGGGGUAUAACAGGAAUCGAAGAUGGAUUAGUCGGGGGUGGAGGUUGUUGUGUAACCGGAUUAGUUCGGACAUAAUGAGUAAACCAGUCAUUCAUCAUUUGGUAGAAGGCUUGUUUAGCCUCUCCCUCCUGGUUACUCGAGAUUGGUCGAGAAUCUACUGGCUCUGUCCCUUGCGCGGGAGCAGGCGCUAUACUCUCAACAUCAUCAGCUACGGCUCGUUCGGGAUCCAUUACUAUACGAAAACACAUUUUUAGACGUCAGCAGUCAUCACACUAUCUCGAUAUAAAAAUAUGGCAUGUAUAGCUAGACUCAUACACGCUACGCUAGUUCCGAGAAUCGACUAAACCGUAGCUCUGAUACCAAUAAAUUGUAACACCCCUAACCCGUCUCCGUCGCCGAAUCAGGGUUACGAGGCAUUACAAAACCAAGCUCACAUAAACAUAACUUUAAUAUCUAAUUCCAAAUGCAAGUCCAAUUCAUGAACAUAUAUAAUCAAAUUCAAGCAUGGAAGUUAAACUCUUUUCGCAUUGCUAUUUACACAAUAGGAUUCAAAAUUAUCCAAAACAUUAUCAAGCCUAUACAUGCCAUAAGAUCGAGUUCAAAUAUUUAACAAAAUACCAAAAAAAAAGUCGAUAGUGUGAUGGGCGGUGCUGAUGAUCCCCGAGCUCGUAACGCGUCUCCAAAAAAAAAAUUUAUAAAAACGAAUGAACGAAAGCAAACAAAGUAAGCUUUUAUAGCUUAGUAAGUCUACAGCAUAUCUAUAAUACAUAUAAAAGAAUCAUAUAAUUCUUUAAGUAAAUUUAUUGAAAUUACAAUCAUCAAAUAUGAUUACUAAUCAAACACUACUUUAUUGAGUCAUUUUGUUUAAGUCUAAAAGGAUGUAUAUUUAUCUAAUACACAUAAACGGACAAAUGUAUAUACAUUAUAUGCAUAUAAUCAAGUUACUAGCAUAAUCCUUAACAGCAUAUACUGAUUUCUAGAGUACUUAUUGUUCGCACUUCAUCGAAUCCAUUUAAAUACAACUAUUCAACUACAUAUAUCAAAAGCCAAAUUUUUAUGCUUAUCAUCCAUAAAUGCCGAAUGCACAUAUGCACCUAUACCCAUCUAUGCCGAAUGCAUAGAUACAUACACUUAUUUUCACCUAUGCCGAAUGCAUACACAUAAAUAUAUUCACCUAUGCCGAAUGCAACAUAUAUAUAUAUAUACAUAUCUAUCAAUUGCUUAGACCAAAUAUAUGUAUAUAUAUGUGCUCAUCAAGUUAAUAUGACUAAAAUCAUGUGAUUGAACAUUUAUGUAUACAUCGAUUUCAUAUAAUCAAAAUCAUAGAGGUAUCAAUUGUAUAUUAUCACAUGCUUUAAACGGAUUCACCGGCAUUUAGCCUGCUAGGUUUUAAAACCUGAUUCAAUACACCGGCUCUUAGCCUGCUAGACUUAUAGUCUGAAAUGUGUCACCGGCAUUAAGCCUGCUAGACUUAUAGUCUGAAAUGUGUCACCGGCAUUAAGCCUGCUAGACUUAUAGCCUGAAAUGUGUCACCGGCAUUAAGCCUGCUAGACUUAUAGUCUGAAUAAUUUCACCGGCGUUAAGCCUGCUAGACGUAAAGUCUGAAUUAUGUCACUAACGAUAAACCGAAUGAUACUGAGCUUUAACAAAAGAAUCUCAAUUCAUAGGAGUUGUAUAUCAUAAUGGUAUAUAGAAUUCACAUAAAAAUUCAGCUCAAUAAUUUAUAAACUAUAUCCUUAACCCACAUCGGUAUAAAAAGUUCAAUCAUCAAAUUCAACUCAAUAUCUAAAUUAUACAUCCGAAUAUAUAUAUAUAUAACUUAACACAUUGAAGCAUACUAUUAAUAUCGUACUUUCGAACACAUUAAGAUAAUCCAAGCUAAUAAUUUCAUCUCUUCAACCCCGUUCAAGAACCUUUACAAGAACAUACAUACCUAAUCGAAUCUCCCUUUUUCAUAUAUAAGUUUCAUACUUAAAUUUAUCACAAGAACAUAUACAUGCAUAGUUGCAUAGUCGAACCCCUUAUAAACUUGUAUAAAUGGCAUACCUAAGUUCAAUACGAGAACAUAUAGAUGUAGAUUUGCAUAAUAUAUAUAUAAUUCACUCAUACUUUUAAUUAUUUCAACUAUCAUAUUUUUAAUUAUAAUUCAUCCAAAAACAGCUCAUAUACUUAUUUAUAUACUGAUUUUAUGACAUUAAAUAGCUAAUAGACUUACCUCGGAUAUCAGCAAACACGAUCGAUUAUUCAAUUAUCUUCGACUUCCCCCGAUCCAAAUUCGUUUUCUUCGUUCCUUGAUCUAAACAUAGUCAAAUUUAACCUUUUUAUUCAUCAAAACAUUCAUUUGAGUACAACAAUACAUAAAUGGGAAAAUUACCAUUUUGCCCCUAACAUUUUGCACUUUUUGCAAUUUAGUCCUUUUUGCACAAAACACAAAAUACACAAAAUUUGCCCAUAACACACAAGGGCCGAAUAUUCAUGGUUCUCAUACAAGUCCACACAUUGCAUUUAUUUCACAUUUUAGUCCCUCAAAAAUUUAUUUUCACAAUUUAGCCCUAAAUACUCAAAUUCAUCAAAAAUACCAAUACAAAACAUGUUAAUCUAAGACAUAUCUUCCAUUAUUCAUCAUCAAACAUCCCAAAACACAAAUAUUCAUCAAUGGCAUAAUUCAAAAUAUUCAUCAAUUCACAAAAUUAAGACAUGGGUUUUGAAGUAUUCAAAGCAACGAUCUCAAAAACGUAAAAAUCAUCAAAAACCGAACAAAAACUAACCUUGAAUUAAGCUUCAAAAGAUGGCCGAACCUAGCUUAGGUUUCUUUCUUUUUCUUUUCUCUAGUUUCGGUCAAAAUAAGAUGAAAAAUGUGGCUUUUAAUUUGUUUGUCUUUUAAUAUAUUAACAUUAUAAUAUAAUAUAUUAUUAUAACCUUUAUACAUAAUAUAAAAACUAUAAUUAUAAGCAUAAUGCGAUCCACUAUCUUGAAUAAUGGCCUAAUUUCCUAUUAAGGACUUCACAUUAUAAAGACAUUAGCAAGUUAGCACUUUACACAUUAAUUAGUCAAUUUCACAUUUUAUGCGAUUAAGUCCUUUUAUUAAAUUAAGCACACAAACAAUAAAAUUAAUUCACGAGAUUUUCACACAUGUAAAUUAACAUAUAAUAAACACAUGAAAUAAUAUUAAAAUAUUUUUUUAACUCGGACUUGUGGUCCCGAAACCACUAUGUCCAAUUAGAGUCAAAAUCGGGCUGUUACACAUAUGUUACGAACAAUGUGUUCGAUCUUUAAUCAACCCUUUGGCAUGAUGAAAUGAGGCAUUGAAAUUAAGAAUGAGUAAAUUUAACAACAAAACAGUUUAGGACAGAAACAAUUGUGUGACUUUGAAAAAUCACCAAAAAUGGUGAAAAUUGAAUUAGAGGUUGUAUGAGAUAUUAAAUUAAAUCUGAGUGAGUCUAUUUUCAUAUAAAUGAAAUAGAGUAAGCAAAAGAGAUAUAUAUUUUGAGAUAUUUGAAUUCUAGCGAGACAGGGAUAGAAUGAAUUCGAAAUCCCCUGUUCCAACUUUGGAAAAUUACUAAAAUUUGUUCAAAAAUAAUUAUAGUUUGUAAUUUACAUGCUUAAAUUUAUAAAUGAGUCUACUUUCAAUAGAAACAAGAAAGGACAUCAUUUGAAUUUUUUGCAAUGAGAUAAUUAAUUUUUAGUGAAGAGGGGUCAGAGUUGUCGAACAGUGAAAUAGGGGAAUAUUUAAUGAAUAAACUGUAUUAAUUGGAUAGACCAAAAAUUCUGAAAUUUCUAUGGUAAUAAAUUAUGUGAGUCUAGUUUCAGGGAAAAUUUACGGUUUUUCAUUUGGAGUUCUGUAGCUCGAGAAAUAAAUAAUUUAGUGACAGUGACUCAAGUAGACAGAUUAAUGUGAAUAUUAGUAAUAAAGUGUAAGCAUGUGAUAUAAUGACUAUAUCAUCAUAAGAAAUUAUUGCGAGGAUUUGUCCACACAAGUUUAAUAAUUUCUCAUUAUUUUCAUAUGAACUUACUAAGCAUUUAUGCUUACUUCCUCUCUCUUUUCCUUUACCUUAUAGUAUCGCCAAGUUAGCUCGGGGAUCGAUGGAGGUCGGAGAUUCGCUCACACUAUCAAUUAGAACACUUGGUAUAUCUAGAUACAUAAAUUUUUGGGUUAUGGCAUGUAUAGUAGGUUUGGUCGUUUUGUCAUAUAUGUCAUAUUUCUUAUGGCCAAUAUUGACGGUUGUUAUACGCCUAUGAUAUGGUUAUUCAUGUAUGUGGUAAUUGCAUAAUUGAAUGUUGUGGAGGUGGUUUACAAAUGAUUUCAUGAAUGACGAUGUGUAUGGGAAUGUGAAUGUAAAAUUGGAUAUUCGGAUGUCCAAUUAUAGUGUGAUACAUGUUGACGAAAUUUUAUGACCCAGUUUUAUAUGUUUAAGAAAUUUUAAGUCUGGUAACACCUCG
This 13394-nucleotide long non-coding RNA is filed under the name Gossypium barbadense (sea-island cotton). Its description in RNAcentral is "long non-coding RNA (GBAR_LNC019528)". Lineage: Eukaryota; Viridiplantae; Streptophyta; Magnoliopsida; Malvales; Malvaceae. The record is from RNAcentral.